UCCGAUAUGGUGUAACGGCUAACAUUGCCGCCUUUCACGGCUCAGAUGGACGCGGCAGCUCGGGGUUCGAUUCCCCGUGUCGGAA
Pleurotus pulmonarius is the source of this 85-nucleotide non-coding RNA. The record is from the annotation of a GenBank genome assembly. NCBI's taxonomy places the organism in Eukaryota, Fungi, Basidiomycota, Agaricomycetes, Agaricales, Pleurotaceae.